AUGCUUGCUUCCACAGCACAUAUAGUGAAAUUGGAACAACGCAGAGAUUAACAUGGCCCCUGCCCGGGGACAACAUGCAAAUUCAUGAAUUAUUCCAUAUUUAC
This 104-nucleotide small nuclear RNA is filed under the name Mus pahari (shrew mouse). The record is from RNAcentral. Lineage: Eukaryota; Metazoa; Chordata; Mammalia; Rodentia; Muridae.